This 284-nucleotide long non-coding RNA is filed under the name Vitis vinifera (wine grape). RNAcentral's name for it is "long non-coding RNA (VVIN_LNC002827)". Lineage: Eukaryota; Viridiplantae; Streptophyta; Magnoliopsida; Vitales; Vitaceae. The record is from RNAcentral.
CCGUUGGGGCGGCGAGAGAGGACUAAUGCGUGGGCUGCUUUGGGCGGCCAGAUGGGACGGAGAAGGGGUUGCUUUGGGCGACUAGAGGGGACUUACGGAGAUAGCUGCAGAGGAGGACGAAAGAGGGAGGCUGGAAUUUGAGAGUGGCGUCUGAAAACAGAGCGAGAAAACUAAGUGGAAAAAUACGUGGGAGAAAAACAAAGAUUGAGAGAAAAAAAGAAAGAGAGUCGGGUGGAGAUCUUCGAUUCUGGACUGAGGGACUUUUAGUUGGGAGAAAAACAAAG